UCCUAACAGUAGCCUCCUCUGGGAAGAGGGUCCCAGGCAUUAUGUUUGUCACAUGACAUCAAAAGUUCUGCUUUUAAACUCAGAAUUCUCAGGGAUUCAAGGACCCUUAAAGCCAGGGAAUGCUGAAAGAGCCAGGGAGAAAGAUUAAGAAUGACUCAGAGGGAUGCUGUGAAGGAAAAGGGCCCGGUCUGGUGCGUGAAGAGCGAGGGGCUGUGGACAGGGUAGAGUGUGAGGGCCCGCACAGCACUGGCAGCAGAAAAACAAGUGUAAACAGUGAAAGGCUCUAGGCAAAACGUAGUCAUUUAUUGGAUGAAGUCUUCCGUUAAAAAAAUUUCGAAGUCUUUUCCUUAAGCCCUUCAGGGGAGCGAAGGAGAGGAUCAGGAAGACGUUUCUGUCAAUAAAGAGCACGGAUCAAUCAAUACGUUUGCAGGGGCCGCGCUGCGCAGCGCAGCGCAGGGGCGCGCUCUACCCAGCCGGGCCAGCAGAUGGCAGUGUGGUCCUACUGGGAACCUCUAGCCUCAGCGCCACUUUCCUCUCCUCCCUAAGGGGAAGUUCUGGGGGUCCUCACUUUUCUUCCUUCCUGGGUAAUAUGACCUGGAGAGUCAGCCUGUAGGGUACGACUCAGCAUCCAGCCAGUGCUUGGCGGCUGCGCAGGCAGUGUUGCUGCAUGAAACAGUGGUCUUUGAAGUGAGUGCCUCUUUGAAAUGGAAGCCUCUGCAAUCAAAGCUUAAGUCCUGCACUUGGAUUAUGAAAAAGAAAAAACAGAACUGUCACAUAAAGGGCUCACACGGUACAGUGGAACAUCUGAAGGAGAGGUUUGGUUGUUUCAAGGCUUGUGGGCAGAGCCCUUUAUUGGACGCUGUAAGUUUCUGACCCAGAGGAGAUGCUUCUGCGAGUUGAGAGUCUCUGAGGAGCCUGGGAUCUCAGACUGGCCUGGCUCAUGGUGCCUGAUGUGCAGAAGGGAUGCUAGACAGGAGGCUGAAGUCUUUGGUUUCCAGUCCUGAUUUGGAUGAAUGCCUGGACCUCUUGCUUCUCCAGCAAAGGACCUGAAGGGACAGUGUGGCUGGACGCAGCAGCAGAUCAUCCUGCCCUGGAGUGUUUCUCUCACCAUUGGGAUCCCAGGCAAGUGAUGCUACUUUCAUGAAGCCUCACUUCAACCACUCAGACCCUCCUCUGAAUGCCUGUUAAGCUGGAGGCUACCGAUGGAGGUGAGAACACCACCACCUUCUGCCAAAGCUUGAUGCAUUGUUGCCCCAACUGGAGAGAUACAAAGAGGAAUGACUCCCGGGUCAACCAGGUCCUCCAGUCAACACUCAGCUAAUGUUUUCAGAUCACCUACUAUGUGCUUGGAACUACGGAAGAAACUAUGGAGGAUAUCGAAGUGAGAUCAUAAGCUGGGAACAAAUUGGCGAUGAUAAUGGCACAGAUGCUACUUCAGCAAAGAAAGGAAUAAAGAAGUAGAGGAUGUCUUUGAAGGGACGGGCAGGUCAACUGUGGAAGGAGGGAGGGACACCGCUGAGUUCUUCAUUGAGAAUCCCUGUCCUUUGACAGAGCUUCAGAGAAUUUUCGAGCAUAUGACGAGCAUCUGGAACUGUUCCUUCCAGAAAAUAAUACAUCAGGAGGCAGAAAAAUAAUUAUGUUUCCCUCAAUGAUCCCAGCAAAGAUGUUUGCUCUCCUAAAGGACCUCAAGGCACUCAUAAAACUAGGAAAACUGAGUUAAGUGCUUUUUAUUAAACCAUUAAGAGAUUUUAUUCAGCUAAGACAAAUGUCUUCACUGAAGGAUACAGAGUUUGAUAGUAUAGAAAAUACCCAGAUGAAAACUUGUCUGAAUAAAUUAGAUGGAUGCAUUUGGCAUUUAGGGUUCCAAGUGUCUGCCUCCCUCCUGCAGCCCCAAGCUGCCAACCAAAAAAAUAUUCUCUACUGCAGGACACACUGAGUUUGAGGUGGGUGGGUGGGGAAUAGGCGGGAGAGCUCCUAACAGCACUGGAGAUUUCCCAAACCGUGAGUGGCUUUAUGGGCUAAGACGGAGGGAGCAAGGACUCCAUUUUCUUUCCUCCAUAGCUGAGGACUUCUGGAUCCCUGUGGAAUUAUCCACUUCGCCAGCCACAGGGAGGCUGAGUGGUAGACCGAGGAGACCAGAGCAUUGGCCACAGGAAGGGCAGGCAGAAAUGCAGAACUCACAGCCCAUUUCAGGGCUCUCAAAUCUCUGGUCUGCCAUGACAUACACAGGGGGCGGAGACGCAGAAAGACACAUUUAAAGACACAUGUACACCCAGCUUCCUCGUCACACCUGCCAGAUGCUUUGUAAUCCUAGAACAGCUUCUCUUCUGGGGACAUCGUGUCUCCCCUUAGCUCUUUUCCCCACUUUUCCAGAAUGCAAAAAGUACUGCUAUGUGAGAAUCUUGUGUGCCAAGGGAUUUAGAAUAAUAAUGUUUAUUUAUAAGGAAUAAAAUUGAGCCAGGCACGUGAGCCCACAACGGCUCAGACUUAAUAAUAGUAAUAGCUAAUGGUUAUUGGGUAUUUACCAUGUGCCAGGCACCAUGCCAAGUAGUUGACACACAAUGUCUUCUUUUGUCCUCACAACAGCUCUGUGAGGAACAUGCUAUCCUUACCAUCCUUCUGAGGAGGUGUCCGGUUUCACAAGGUGAUUCAACCUACCCAAGGUCACUUCCAGACAUGCCCAUGUGAAGAUCUUCCCAGCAUCCUUUUCUAUGCUCAUCCUUGUGGAACCGACCAGCUUCCUCUGGGAACUGCUGUUCCCAUUCCCUCCAUCUUACCCAUGUGGCUACUGAGGGAGUUGCCAUGGUUUUUCAUGACUGUCCCCCUGCCAGUCAUUCCCUUCCCAGGGCAUUUUUAAAUCCAGGAAAAUCGAGCAUGUUCAGCCUGAAGUUCUACCAUGUGGUGG
Molecule: non-coding RNA, 2905 nt
Organism: Sus scrofa (pig)
Lineage: Eukaryota; Metazoa; Chordata; Mammalia; Artiodactyla; Suidae
Source: RefSeq, a predicted model, not a curated record